Molecule: ribosomal RNA, 117 nt
Filed under: Danio rerio (zebrafish)
Lineage: Eukaryota; Metazoa; Chordata; Actinopteri; Cypriniformes; Danionidae
Source: RNAcentral
GGCCACAGCCAUAUCACCCUGCAGCCCAAGACCGGUUACUCACUAAAGCUAAGCAGGUCUGAGCCUGGUUAGUACCUGGAUGGGAGACCACUAGGGAACACUAGGUUGCUGUUGGAA